RNAcentral lists this unclassified non-coding RNA (481 nucleotides) under Hevea brasiliensis (rubber tree). The record is from RNAcentral. Lineage: Eukaryota; Viridiplantae; Streptophyta; Magnoliopsida; Malpighiales; Euphorbiaceae.
AUGGAGUUUUGGUGCCAAAGUGCAACCAAUUCAAGUAUUUAGAUUCUAUCAUCUAGAAGAAUGGAGUAAUAGACGAGAAUAUAACUCAUAGGAUCAAAAUAGAAUGGAUAAAAUGGAGGAGUUUGACGGGUGUGCUAAGCAACUAUAGGAUCCCUUACAAAGUGAAAGGUAAGUCCUAUAGAAUUGUGGUUAGGUCAGCUAUGUGCACAAAAUGAGUGUGACAGAAAUGUAGAUGUUAUAAUGGAUGUAUAGUAUUGUGAUAAUUGAUAAGAUUAGGAAUGACCAUAUCUAUCAUAGAAUGCAUGUGGUACACAUUGCGGAUAAAAUGAUAGAGUCAAUUAAGAUGGUUUGGUAAUAUCCAACGUAGAGGUAGAGCAUUGAAUGCAGAAGUACAAAAGCAUGAUUAAUAAGUUAGUGGUGGAAGGAGUUAGAAACAGAAAGGGGCAGACCUAAAAUAAUGUGGAGGGAAGUAGUAUCAAAA